UACGGGGGGAGCAAGCGUUGUUCGGAUUUACUGGGCGUAAAGGGCGCGUAGGCGGUCAGCACAAGUCAGUUGUGAAAUCUCCGGGCUUAACUCGGAAAGGUCAACUGAUACUGUGCGACUAGAGUGCAGAAGGGGCAACUGGAAUUCUCGGUGUAGCGGUGAAAUGCGUAGAUAUCGAGAGGAACACCUGCGGCGAAGGCGGGUUGCUGGGCUGACACCGACGCUGAUGCGCGAAAGCCAGGGGAGCGAACGGG
This 254-nucleotide ribosomal RNA is filed under the name uncultured bacterium. RNAcentral describes it as "partial 16S ribosomal RNA". It matches the Rfam family "Bacterial small subunit ribosomal RNA", at positions 524 to 776 of the family's 1533-position model. The record is from RNAcentral.